RNAcentral lists this ribosomal RNA (517 nucleotides) under Escherichia coli. RNAcentral's name for it is "partial 23S ribosomal RNA". It matches the Rfam family "Bacterial large subunit ribosomal RNA", at positions 2426 to 2925 of the family's 2925-position model. The record is from RNAcentral. Lineage: Bacteria; Pseudomonadati; Pseudomonadota; Gammaproteobacteria; Enterobacterales; Enterobacteriaceae.
GUUCUGAAUGGAAGGGCCAUCGCUCAACGGAUAAAAGGUACUCCGGGGAUAACAGGCUGAUACCGCCCAAGAGUUCAUAUCGACGGCGGUGUUUGGCACCUCGAUGUCGGCUCAUCACAUCCUGGGGCUGAAGUAGGUCCCAAGGGUAUGGCUGUUCGCCAUUUAAAGUGGUACGCGAGCUGGGUUUAGAACGUCGUGAGACAGUUCGGUCCCUAUCUGCCGUGGGCGCUGGAGAACUGAGGGGGGCUGCUCCUAGUACGAGAGGACCGGAGUGGACGCAUCACUGGUGUUCGGGUUGUCAUGCCAAUGGCACUGCCCGGUAGCUAAAUGCGGACGAGAUAAGUGCUGAAAGCAUCUAAGCACGAAACUUGCCCCGAGAUGAGUUCUCCCUGACUCCUUGAGAGUCCUGAAGGAACGUUGAAGACGACGACGUUGAUAGGCCGGGUGUGUAAGCGCAGCGAUGCGUUGAGCUAACCGGUACUAAUGAACCGUGAGGCUUAACCUUACAACGCCGAAG